RNAcentral lists this long non-coding RNA (517 nucleotides) under Phoenix dactylifera (date palm). RNAcentral's name for it is "long non-coding RNA (PDAC_LNC021609)". The record is from RNAcentral. Lineage: Eukaryota; Viridiplantae; Streptophyta; Magnoliopsida; Arecales; Arecaceae.
UCAUCAUGAGCUUACAAGAAAUACACACACAGACACACAUACACGUACACACAUACAGACACACACAUACACGUACACACAUACAGACACACAUACAUACACAGAUACAUGCAUACAGACACACAUACAGACACACACACAUACAGAGACACAUACAUCCACACAUACACACAUACAGACACACAUAUAAGAAUAAUAAACAACAAUGAUUUUGCAAUGUAUUCCUCAAGAGCAUGCUCACUCUCGUGCUCUAGUCACCUCAAAUUUAGCCAAGUAAUCACAAGCAUUGAUGCAGACAAGAUCACAAAGUAAUGCUUGGCAAAGAAUAAGCCUGUCUGGAGAUAAGCUGCAGCGCUGCCUACCUGUCAGAGGGGCAUAAAAACAUAAAAUGCUGGAUGGCAGUAAAAGUUCAAAAUAAUCAAAGCAAUAUAAUAAUGACUAUCAACUAACAAGAUAAAAUGUUUUUGACUCAUAUAUUGCAUUGCAUAAAAGCCGUCACUUCAAUACAGUAAUUUUG